CCUACGGGUGGCAGCAGUGAGGAAUAUUGGUCAAUGGGCGCGAGCCUGAACCAGCCAAGUAGCGUGAAGGAUGACUGCCCUACGGGUUGUAAACUUCUUUUAUAAAGGAAUAAAGUGAGUCACGUGUGCCUUUUUGUAUGUACUUUAUGAAUAAGGAUCGGCUAACUCCGUGCCAGCAGCCGCGGUAAUACGGAGGAUCCGAGCGUUAUCCGGAUUUAUUGGGUUUAAAGGGAGCGUAGAUGGGUUGUUAAGUCAGUUGUGAAAGUUUGAGGCUCAACCGUAAAAUUGCAGUUGAUACUGGCAGACUAGAGUACAGUUGAGGUAGGCGGAAUUCGUGGUGUAGCGGUGAAAUGCAUAGAGAUCACGCAGAACACCGAUUGCGAAGGCAGCUUGCUAGACUGCCACUGACAUUGAUGCUCGAAAGUGUGGGUAUCAAACAGGAUUAGAUACCCUUGUAGUC
This 460-nucleotide ribosomal RNA is filed under the name uncultured bacterium. RNAcentral describes it as "partial 16S ribosomal RNA". It matches the Rfam family "Bacterial small subunit ribosomal RNA", at positions 338 to 795 of the family's 1533-position model. The record is from RNAcentral.